RNAcentral lists this ribosomal RNA (486 nucleotides) under uncultured bacterium. RNAcentral's name for it is "partial 16S ribosomal RNA". It matches the Rfam family "Bacterial small subunit ribosomal RNA", at positions 30 to 507 of the family's 1533-position model. The record is from RNAcentral.
AUUGAACGCUGGCGGCAUGCCUUACACAUGCAAGUCGAACGGCAGCACGGGUGCUUGCACCUGGUGGCGAGUGGCGAACGGGUGAGUAAUACAUCGGAACAUGUCCUGUAGUGGGGGAUAGCCCGGCGAAAGCCGGAUUAAUACCGCAUACGAUCUACGGAUGAAAGCGGGGGACCUUCGGGCCUCGCGCUAUAGGGUUGGCCGAUGGCUGAUUAGCUAGUUGGUGGGGUAAAGGCCUACCAAGGCGACGAUCAGUAGCUGGUCUGAGAGGACGACCAGCCACACUGGGACUGAGACACGGCCCAGACUCCUACGGGAGGCAGCAGUGGGGAAUUUUGGACAAUGGGCGAAAGCCUGAUCCAGCAAUGCCGCGUGUGUGAAGAAGGCCUUCGGGUUGUAAAGCACUUUUGUCCGGGAAGAAAUCCUUGGCUCUAAUACAGUCGGGGGAUGACGGUACCGGAAGAAUAAGCACCGGCUAACUACGUG